GAUGAGCAGCACCAGAACUGCCGGGAAGAGGAACAGGGCGUUUAUGGUCAGAGCCCCCGCGUGUGCUGUCCCUAGAAGUACCCGCCCUUCGCCCCAGGUUCAGGAAGAACUGGAAAGCUGGUGAACAGUGACAGUUUGACAGCACUGCAAAAUAAGACCCCAGUUUAUCCAAGGAAAAAAAUAGUGGCAUAUACUCAUAUUCAGUAAGAGAUUACAGACCAUAUAACAAAGUUCACAACAAUGACUUGUAAAGUAUUUGAAUGUAGAAUGAGCUUUUCAUAUAUAUAGCAGUUAAUUGUAAAUAACUUUUUUUGUGAUUAACUUGGUUGAUGAAAUGCACACACAGAAAAUAAUUACAUACUUGUAUGUAUUUUUCCUGUGUGUAAAAACAUGAGGUGUAGACUAGAACUAUAGGAUUUCAGGGAAAGAAACUAAAAGAACUUUAAAGAAGUGGGACUUCGAACUGAGCAUCCAAUACUGGAAUGUAAUUUGAAUUGAAGGCAGAUGGAAAAAUGGGAGUCUAAGCGAACAUGCUUUAUUUGUGGGAUUCAGUAAACAGUUACUAAAACUUAAAUCUUUGUUUAGGCUCUAUGUUAAGCAAUGGGAAAUAAGAUUGGUUAUGAUAUAGUUCCUGUUCUGAUGAAUUUGCAGGCUAAGAAGAGUAUAAACAUUGAUGAUAAUACAAAUCAGGCAGUAAUAAGGGUUAUAAGCUCACAGGUGUUACCACUAGAUUCCAGAGACAUGGUCAGUGAAUUCUGGGGCAACAGGAAAGUGAUUCACAUAAGUAACCCUGGAGUGUCAGUGGUGAUAUUUUGGAAAAUGCUAGGAUACAAAAUGAGAAAAAUUUUUGAGUAGCCAGGCAUUGUAGCAUGCAACUGUAGUCCCAGCUACUCUGGAGGCUGAGGUAGAAGAAUUGUUUGAGGUUAGCCUGGGCAACAUAGUAAGCCUCUAUCUCUUAAAAGAAAAAAAAAUACGAGAAAUGAAAGUCUUUGAGUAUCUUCUGGAGGAAAUUCUGAUGGUGAUGGAGAAUUAGGCAGUGUAUGGAACUGGUCCAUCUUAAUUUAUUAUUAUUAUUAUUGCCAUCUAUCUUAUUUUAUUAGGUAAUCUUAUUUAAUAUUAAGUAUCAUAUUACAUCCUGAAAAUCAUAUUUUGGGAAAAAUGGUCCUUAGCUGAAAGGCUCCCCUGAUUCCCUGACAGAAGAGAAUCAGUUUUAGGUCUGUUUAUUCUUGUUAGGCAAGCAUUUUACCACUGAGCUGCAUCCCUGACCCUUAAUUUUUUCUCUUUUAAAUUUUGAGAUAAGAUUUCACUGUUGCAUAGGCUGACCUCAUACUUGUGAUCCUUCUGCCUAACCCUCCAGAUUUAGCUGGGAUUACAGAGGUGUGCCACCAUGCCUAGUGGGAUAUUUACUCUUUAAGCACAACAGGCAUAGUGAAUAGACUUAUGAAAUUUUCUAAGAACUGGAUACAUAUUUAAGACAUUAAAAAAUACCUGCAAAAUCAAAACUGUCAAAAUUAAUGUGUUUGUUUAAUUGUCCACAAAAUGUAGUAUUUUAUUGACAAAUCAACUGCAAUUCAAAUUUUACAUGGUUUUAUGAAUUAUAUUUAAUAUGAGAUGUGUACUCUAGAAAUAAGAAUGCAUAAAACCAUGUGGAUUUUGUGAUACCUUUUCUUAACUUAGCUCCUAAAAACUGUUUACUUAUUCUGUACAGUUCAAAAGACAAGAAAUAAUGGGUUUGAGAGGGACGAAAUAAAUUAUCCCUUGCACACCACUUCUAACUUGAGAGCUUCUCUGAGCUACUCUCUUUAAAUCAGUCUUUCUGUAAUGAUGGCUUUUUUGGCAGGUCAGAGUAAACUUAGAGAAGGUUUUCCAAAGAUAGAAGUAAGGGCAUCCACUCUUGAAAUGUCGCCUAGGCACAAGUUUUUUCAACAGCUUCUUACAGGUGGUCCUGUUCUGUACUCAAGGACUCCCGAUGCCACCUUAUGGACACACAAGGAAUUUCAGGCAGGUUUUACUUGCCAGUAUACAUGGACCAGAAAAUAAGUCUCUCUGAUCCAGGGAUCCAAGGACUUAGGAAGGUUAUUCAUUUAUACUACUUCUUCCUUCAUGUAAGACUGAACUAUGUCAACAAAAUUAAGCCACAUGUUGUAUUUUAAAAUGUCUUGAGAGGGCUGCUUUACGGGCCUGCCUAGAAAAUCAGUCAAAUAGACAUUGUUUUAUAGUAGGGAAUUUUCUUCUUUGCUCUGACUCAGUCUCUUGGUGUGUAGAUGAACAAGAGAUGGAGGGUGUGUGUAAAUAUAUGCAAGUCUCUUUUAAUUGAAAUCCCUAGAGCUUUAUUUUCUUCCCUCAUAGAAAGCUGGGAUUUCUUUUAUAUUAAAUAAUAUUUUUGUAUAUUAAGUUUACUUUUCCCCAGGUAAGAUGUAUUUGCUUUGGCAUAAUUCAAUAGAAGAGGUGGAAUAUAUGUACGGAUAUUUUCUUGGCUUCAAUAGAUGAUUUAGGUAUUUGUCUUUGAAUGUGGAAUUCAAAAACAAUGACACAGAUGGCAUUAUGUAUAAGGGAAUUAAGAGGCAGUCUUGCAGUAUGACUUAAGAGAAAAAAGUAAGUAACCCCUACCACAAUAGUGCUAUCCCUCUAGCCUGUCAUCUUCUCUUUUUAUUUCAUCAUCAGAGGCAAACUGGCCCUGUUUAGUCACUGAUUUUUAUAUGAUGGCCACAUUGCCUAGCAGGGACAAUAAUGUCACAAGGAGCUUAUUCCUCAGAAAUCCACGUGGUUUAUUUGAUCACUUCCUUCAGACCUCUGUUCAAAGUUCUCUUUUUCUGUGAGGACUUCACUGACCACUCUACUUGAGAUGGUAUCUAGGCAUUAUCCCAUCUUCCCAGAUACACAACUUGUUCCUUUUCUCUGUAACACUUAGCCAUCUCCAGAAUCUGAAAAAGAGCACUCAGAAGGGCAGUGCUGCUGAGAUGAGUAAGCAUGGAGUAGAAGAGCAAUUCUGAGUAGCUGUGUUGGGAGUAACUGACUAGUCUGAGCAAGCGUUUGCAGGACCCACCAUGAUGGAAAAGAAAGGAACCACCUACUCACCUAAGAGGACAAAGAUGCAGGCUAGGAUGGCAAUGAGGGCGCCCCGGCUCAAACUGACUGGGAGCAUGUAGGCCUCGGGGCUGCAGGACAUGACGUGGCCUUCAUCAUCACAGCUGCAUACCUGGAUGGCAGAAGCUUGAAGGAACUGAUGUGUAGUUCUCUUGCCUUGCUGUGAUAACUCAAAGAAUGUUGUGGGAUGGAACCCAAGCACUUUGGGAUACUGAGCUUCAUAUGGUGAACAGUUGUCUUGGAUAACUCAGAUGUACUAUGGGCUUUAUUUGAGCAAGAAAUAAACUUUGCUUGUGAAAAGCCA
Ictidomys tridecemlineatus (thirteen-lined ground squirrel) is the source of this 3391-nucleotide non-coding RNA. The record is from RefSeq and is a predicted model, not a curated record. NCBI's taxonomy places the organism in Eukaryota, Metazoa, Chordata, Mammalia, Rodentia, Sciuridae.